GGAGUUUGGGCCGUGUCUCAGUCCCAAUGUGGCCGGUCACCCUCUCAGGUCGGCUACUGAUCGUCGGUUUGGUGGGCCGUUACCCCGCCAACUGCCUAAUCAGACGCAGGGCCAUCCCAUUCCACCGGAGUUUUUCACACUGUAUCAUGCGAUACCGUGCGCUUAUGCGGUUUUAUCAGCCGUUUCCAGCUGCUAUCCCCCUGUAUGAGGCAGGUUACCCACGCGUUACUCACCCGUCCGCCACUAAGUGUACAGCUAAAUCAGACGAAUCCUCAAUAAAAGUACACUCCGUUCGACUUGCAUGUGUUAAGCACGCCGCCAGCGUUCAUC
RNAcentral lists this ribosomal RNA (330 nucleotides) under uncultured Lachnospiraceae bacterium. RNAcentral describes it as "partial 16S ribosomal RNA". Lineage: Bacteria; Bacillati; Bacillota; Clostridia; Lachnospirales; Lachnospiraceae. The record is from RNAcentral.